UACGUAGGGUGCGAGCGUUGUCCGGAUUUAUUGGGCGUAAAGGGCUCGUAGGCGGCCUGUCGCGUCGGGAGUGAAAGCCCACUGCUUAACGGUGGGUCUGCUUUCGGUACGGGCGGGCUAGAGUAUGGCAGGGGAGACUGGAAUUCCUGGUGUAGCGGUGGAAUGCGCAGAUAUCAGGAGGAACACCGGUGGCGAAGGCGGGUCUCUGGGCCGUAACCGACGCUGAGGAGCGAAAGCGUGGGGAGCGAACAGG
RNAcentral lists this ribosomal RNA (253 nucleotides) under uncultured bacterium. RNAcentral describes it as "partial 16S ribosomal RNA". It matches the Rfam family "Bacterial small subunit ribosomal RNA", at positions 524 to 776 of the family's 1533-position model. The record is from RNAcentral.